UACGGAGGGGGCUAGCGUUGUUCGGAAUUAUUGGGCGUAAAGAGCUCGUAGGCGGUUUGUCGCGUCUGCUGUGAAAACCCGAGGCUCAACCUCGGGCCUGCAGUGGGUACGGGCAGACUAGAGUGCGGUAGGGGAGAUUGGAAUUCCUGGUGUAGCGGUGGAAUGCGCAGAUAUCAGGAGGAACACCGAUGGCGAAGGCAGAUCUCUGGGCCGUAACUGACGCUGAGGAGCGAAAGCGUGGGGAGCGAACAGG
This 253-nucleotide ribosomal RNA is filed under the name uncultured bacterium. RNAcentral's name for it is "partial 16S ribosomal RNA". It matches the Rfam family "Bacterial small subunit ribosomal RNA", at positions 524 to 776 of the family's 1533-position model. The record is from RNAcentral.